UCAGAAAGGUCAUUCAACCUAGUACAUACCGGCUGCAGUGGGCAGACAGCUCAGGCAUCCCCAACCCAUCGAACAUCCAGCACCUACGAUGCUUCUACCCUUAGGAUAUAAAAUCUAUGUACUCUUUCAACUUUAUUAUAUUGAAUAAAUAAAACCCCAAAGGUUCUUUGCAUACCUACUACCAUCUCGCUUUCUUAGCUGAGCUCUUAAUCCCACUCGGGGGCUGUCCGACCUGUUCGACAGACC
Molecule: long non-coding RNA, 246 nt
Filed under: Setaria viridis
Lineage: Eukaryota; Viridiplantae; Streptophyta; Magnoliopsida; Poales; Poaceae
Description: long non-coding RNA (SVIR_LNC006441)
Source: RNAcentral